Molecule: ribosomal RNA, 383 nt
Filed under: uncultured bacterium
Lineage: Bacteria
Description: partial 16S ribosomal RNA
Rfam family: Bacterial small subunit ribosomal RNA
Source: RNAcentral
UAGGGAAUCUUCCACAAUGGACGCAAGUCUGAUAGAGCAACGCCGCGUGAGUGAAGAAGGUUUUCGGACCGUAAAGCUCUGUUGUUGGUGAAGAAGGAUAGAGGUAGUAACUGGCCUUUAUUUGACGGUAAUCAACCAGAAAGUCACGGCUAACUACGUGCCAGCAGCCGCGGUAAUACGUAGGUGGCAAGCGUUGUCCGGAUUUAUUGGGCGUAAAGCGAGCGCAGGCGGAAGAAUAAGUCUGAUGUGAAAGCCCUCGGCUUAACCGAGGAAUUGCAUCGGAAACUGUUUUCUUGAGUGCAGAAGAGGAGAGUAGAACUCCAUGUGUAGCGGUGGAAUGCGUAGAUAUAUGGAGGAAUACCAGUGGCGAAGGCGGCUCUCGU